This 1359-nucleotide ribosomal RNA is filed under the name Bradyrhizobium sp. RNAcentral's name for it is "bacterial SSU rRNA". It matches the Rfam family "Bacterial small subunit ribosomal RNA", at positions 75 to 1452 of the family's 1533-position model. The record is from RNAcentral. Lineage: Bacteria; Pseudomonadati; Pseudomonadota; Alphaproteobacteria; Hyphomicrobiales; Nitrobacteraceae.
AACCGUCGUAUUAUACGUCAUCGCCAAACGGGUAAUUACCGCGUGGCAACGUACCUUUUGUUUCGGACCACCACAGGGAAACUUGUGCUAUUCCCGAAUAACCCCUUACGGGGAAAGUUUUUCCGCCCAAAAAUCGGCCCGCGUCUGAUUACCUAGUUGGUGAGGUAUUGGCUCACCAAGGCGCCAAUCAGAAUUUGGUCUGAGAGGAUGACCACCCCCAUUGGGACUGAACCACGGCCAAACUUAAUACGGGAGGCAGCAUGGGGGAAUAUGGAACAAGGGGGGCAACCCUGAUCCACCCUUGCCGCGGGAUUGAUGAAGGCCCUAGGGUUGUAAAGUUCUUUUGGGCGGAAAGAUAAGGACGGUCCCGCAAAGAAUAACCCCCGGGCUAACUUCGGGCCAGCAGCCGCGGUAAUACGAAAGGGGGCUAGCGUUGCUCGGAAUUCACUGGGCGUAAAGGGGGCGUAGGCGGGUCUUUAAGUCAGGGGUGAAAUCCUGGAGCUCAACUCCAGAACUGCCUUUGAUACUGAAGAAUCUUGAGUCCGGAAAAGGUGAGUGGAACUGCGAGUGUAGAGGUGAAAUUCGAAGAUAUCCGCAAGAACACCAGUGGCGGAAGGCGGCUCACUGGGCCCGGUACUGACCGCUAAGGCACGAAAGCGUGGGGGAGCAAAACAGGAUUUAAGAUACCCCUGGUUAGUCAACGCCGUAAACGAUGGAAUGCCAGGCCGUUAGUGGGUUUACUCACUAGUGGCGCAGCUAACGCUUUAAGCAUUCCGCCUGGGGAGUACGGUCGCAAGAUUAAAACUCAAAGGAAUUGACGGGGGCCCGCACAAGCGGUGGAGCAUGUGGUUUAAUUCGACGCAACGCGCAGAACCUUACCAGCCCUGGACAUGUCCAGGACCGGUCGCAAAGAUGUGACCCUCUCUUCGGAGCCUGGAGCACAGGUGCUGCAUGGCUGUCGUCAGCUCGUGUCGUGAGAUGUAGGGUUAAGUCCCGCAACGAGCGCAACCCCCGUCCUUAGUUGCUACCAUUUAGUUGAGCACUCUAAGGAGACUGCCGGUGAUAAGCCGCGAGGAAGGUGGGGAUGACGUCAAGUCCUCAUGGCCCUUACGGGCUGGGCUACACACGUGCUACAAUGGCGGUGACAAUGGGAUGCUAAGGGGCGACCCUUCGCAAAUCUCAAAAAGCCGUCUCAGUUCGGAUUGGGCUCUGCAACUCGAGCCCAUGAAGUUGGAAUCGCUAGUAAUCGUGGAUCAGCACGCCACGGUGAAUACGUUCCCGGGCCUUGUACACACCGCCCGUCACACCAUGGGAGUUGGUUUUACCUGAAGACGGUGCGCUAACCCGCAAGGGAGGCAG